GUUUUUGUAAAAGUAAAGAAAUAGGUUAGCAGUUCCCUUGACAAAAAUGGAAAAACUCCUGGGGACCUCUAUCACACAUGUACAUUUAAGGUGUCACUACCUCUUUUGUAGCACCUCACAGUAUUUUUU
Molecule: non-coding RNA, 129 nt
Organism: Fukomys damarensis (Damara mole-rat)
Lineage: Eukaryota; Metazoa; Chordata; Mammalia; Rodentia; Bathyergidae
Source: Rfam